CCUACGGGUGGCUGCAGUGGGGAAUAUUGGGCAAUGGGCGCAAGCCUGACCCAGCAACGCCGCGUGAAGGAAGAAGGCUUUCGGGUUGUAAACUUCUUUUCUCAGGGACGAAGCAAGUGACGGUACCUGAGGAAUAAGCCACGGCUAACUACGUGCCAGCAGCCGCGGUAAUACGGAGGUGGCAAGCGUUAUCCGGAUUUACUGGGUGUAAAGGGCGUGUAGGCGGGACUGCAAGUCAGAUGUGAAAACCACGGGCUGCAACUGUGGCCUGCAUUUGAAACUGGAGUUCUUGAGUACUGGAGAGGCAGGCGGAAUUCCUAGUGUAGCGGUGAAAUGCGUAGAUAUUAGGAGGAACCCCAGUGGCGAAGGCGGUCUGCUGGACAGCAACUGACGCUGAGGCGCGAAAGCGUGGGGAGCAAACAGGAUUAGAUACCCGUGUAGUC
This 443-nucleotide ribosomal RNA is filed under the name uncultured bacterium. Its description in RNAcentral is "partial 16S ribosomal RNA". It matches the Rfam family "Bacterial small subunit ribosomal RNA", at positions 338 to 795 of the family's 1533-position model. The record is from RNAcentral.